Molecule: long non-coding RNA, 3334 nt
Filed under: Homo sapiens (human)
Lineage: Eukaryota; Metazoa; Chordata; Mammalia; Primates; Hominidae
Description: non-protein coding MIR100HG:18
Source: RNAcentral
AACAGGAGAGGGAGCAAGCGCGAGAGGAUAUUAGAAGAGAGGCUUGUCUCCAAGAUAUGGAAGGAAGUGAGAAAUGACAGGGCUGCAAGCUUUGUAUGUAGGAGCCCGGCAGGGCGGGGGAGCGGCGAGGAGAGCCAAGUGGAUUCUCAGAAAAGGGGGGAAGCCAUCGAAGAGCUAAAGGUGAUUAGAGGGGGAUAUUGAUUUCUUAUUCUGCCAGAGAUUUAAGCAGGCAUGCGAGGAAUCUGCACCAUGGUUGGCAAAAAGAGACCCGUUGCCUCCUGUAACCAGACACUCAGGCUUUCCAGGAGCCCAGGGAGCAAGCCGAGAAGAAAGGGGGCAGUGUGGUCUAGGAAAAUUCAACUUGUCGCUGAUUUGUGCCUGAUGCCUGCUGUCCGUCAGCAGCCUCCCUUACAAUCUUUUUUUCUCUCUCUCCUUUUUUUUUCCUUGCCUUCUCCUUCUUCACUGAAGCCUAGGGGAGCCAGUAAAGAUUAAAUGUGCUUCUCAAAGGCAGCCACUUCAUGCUGCUAUGUCGAAAGGGCCAUUAUUAUUAUUAUAUUUUAAUGGUAAAAGAGAAAAGGAGAGAGGUUGAGCGAGCGAGAGAGAAGCUAGGUGUGAUGAUGACAGACUAGCUUUUCUGAGAGGAAAAGGAAAAGGGAAGGGAGAGAAAAAGGAGAGCCUCUGAGCUCAACGGAGGAUUGUGCCUGAGAAGAACCCACAGAGCUGGUCCUAUAGUACCCCUCCUCAGGAAUGUCUCCCCAGUGCAAGGACAAAGACUGAAGAGACUGCUAUAUUGAUGGACUCUCAAGCCAACUAUGAAGUUGAAACAAAGAAAGUGAUCACCUGAAGACACCUCCUCUGCUAAGAAACACCCCCAAAUUGUGCAGCUUCUGCCACUAGAACUCUCAGAACAAGAGACAAUCUUUUCAAGAAACAGAAAAACUCAAUAAUGACAUCUAGAUUUUCAUGAGCCAAGAACUUUCCCUUCCUCAUGUGUAUUCCUCUGUUUGUACUUAAAUUCAUGUGACAUUCAUUUUUUUCCUAGUAUGGAUAUGCUUAUUAAUGCACUUGUUUCAAAAUCCCAAAUUGCACAAAUGUGUUAAUAUUUUAAGAAACAAAAUGAAUCCUACAAGGAGAAUGAUUUUUAGCCACACAUAGGGUUGGAUCUUGAGAGUGACCUACAGAAUAAAAGUACUUUUAAAAUAAAGUAGUCAGAGGCUAUUCAAAGGGUAAAAUAAUCAUAGUACCACAUUGGUCCACUUGACACUAACCAAUCGAUCAUUUUUUUUUAAUCAAGAAAGCUAGAUUCUAUCAGAUAAAAUCACUGCUUCUAAAGAGUUUAAAUCUAGUUAGAAAAAGUUAUAGAAAUGUUUGCAAAGAUAAGUAACAGAUAGAGUCAGUAGAGGAUAAGAUCAAAAACAAAACCAAGCAAAAGAUGAGUUCAGGGGAGUUUGCCAUCAAGUUGGCAAAACUGACUUACUUAGGGAAGAAAGUUAUAAAACAGGAAAAUAUGAGAUGAACCUUGAGUGAUGUGGAAGAUUUAGAUAAAUGGAAAGGAAGGAGAAAAUGGAGUUCUUUAGGUGGUUGUAAUUGGAGGAGGAAAUGAAUACACACAUCUUGUUGACUUAAACCCAGACAUUCAGCAGCUCUCUAUACAUAUCUGGAAAAGACUGCACAGUCACCUCCUGUCUCUCACCCCAGGUAUUACUUAGAAUUAUUAUCAUAUUUCCCUUCCUUUAAAGUAAGUAAGGGUGAUUGGUGACAAUAUGGAGAACUAUGAUUUUUCCAUUAACCUAAUAAUAAUUGGUAUUUAUUGAGUUCUGUUAAGCAUUUUACAUAUUAACUCACUUAAGCCUUUCAACAGCCUUGCAAAAUAGGUAUUAUUAUCCCCAUUUUACAGGCAAGAAAACUGAGGUUUAAGUAACUUGCCGAAGUGCCAUAUACAGGGCUCACAUUCAGUAUUGCAGUUGCAAAGCUCAUGAUCUAUAGUGCCAAGUUGCAAUAUUGUAGUCAAUGUCACAAUUAUUACCCCUUUUUAUAUUCCUUGAUAUUUUUCCAUGGCAAACAAUUAGCUAUUUCAUUUAAUAAUCACCUAAAACUUUUCAGUCUUCUGAUUAAAAUUACGCUGGAGUGAUAGAAUGUAUUUUCAUGAUAGAAAUUGGGAAAAAAAAUGGGGAAUGAAGUUUAUCAGCAUUUCAGACUUGUUUUUUUUUUUUUUUUUUGCAAGACUUUGAUGAGAUUGUUCACUUUUGUCUAUGUAAAAUCCCAAAUCCUUGAGAAUAAAAAAGGGGGAGGUUUAAGUCACUUGUUGCAAUGCCCUUUUUAAUAGAGGCAAUAAAUCUAAAGGCCAUAAAUUUAGAGUGACUUACAGAAGAUCGAACUUUGGAGUGUGGCAGAGUAAGGGAUGGAAACCGGGCCCUCCAGUUCACUAUCAGUAGCUUUUGCACUGGUCUGCCCUUCCUAAAUUAAGUAUGCACUUCAAUUUGAUGAGUGGAAACAGUCUAUCUGGGCAGUAACCAGGGAGCUUUGUGCCUAGUAGAUUGCUUCUGUUCUGCACUUCUUUGGUUUCCCACCUCAAUGUAAAAAAUAGCUAGCAAUGAAGUCCAGAAGUUGUCAAUGGUUCAUCCCCAGAAGAAUGCAUAAUGUCCAAAGUUGUAUGUGUAUGAUGUCUUCAAUGGUAUUAAGUUAUUUCAAAUUCUUAGUUCACCUACAUAAAUCAUUUCUAACAAGCAUCUUCUUAACCAACUUUAUGCACAGUGUAUGUUUGUAAGUGCUUCUGCACGAAUGUUUAUACAUGACUGUUUCCAUAGUACUUAUGUUUUUAAAAAUAUUCAGUCAUUUCCUACUAUAAUCCUCAUGUAUCCAUGUAACUGACUCAAAAAUACUUCAGCCACAGAAAGCUAAAACUGAGCAAAUCUCAUUCUUCUUUUCCAUCCCCUUUGCAUGUGGCUGGCAUUUAGUAAUGAUUAAUAAUAUGGCCAGCUGAAUAACAGAGGUUUGAGACACAAUUCUUUCUCAAAGGAGUCAGCUAAGCUGGGUCUACUUAUGGACAAACAUCUAAAUGUGUGGAAGUAUCUGAUAUUUGACAAUGGUAAAUUUCCACUUAGCUAGCUAGCAUUGUCAGACUUCAAUCUCCUCAUGGCUCUGGCCGUCCUGUUUUAAGCAUGAUAAUUGUUGGCCACAUCUCACAUAGUUCUCAUUGAGUGAGUUCAUAAAUAAACAGGGUUUUUUUUUUUUUUUAAAGAGCAGCCAAGCACAAAGUGUGACUUUGUUGACAUUUUAUGUGACUUUGUCAUAUGUUCCUAACCCCCAAUAAAAGCAAUGUUGCAUCAACUGU